UCGUUAAUCGUUGGCGGUUCAC
Molecule: non-coding RNA, 22 nt
Filed under: Arabidopsis thaliana (thale cress)
Lineage: Eukaryota; Viridiplantae; Streptophyta; Magnoliopsida; Brassicales; Brassicaceae
Source: RNAcentral